This is a transfer RNA of 73 nucleotides. It matches the Rfam family "tRNA". From Rfam's summary of the family: Transfer RNA (tRNA) molecules are approximately 80 nucleotides in length. Their secondary structure includes four short double-helical elements and three loops (D, anti-codon, and T loops).
GGCCGGAUGGUGUAGUUGGUUGCAUCUCUGAGCGUCUAUCAGGAGGUCCCUGGUUCAAUUCCAGGCCUGGCCA